UACGAAGGGGGCUAGCGUUGCUCGGAAUCACUGGGCGUAAAGGGUGCGUAGGCGGGUCUUUAAGUCAGGGGUGAAAUCCUGGAGCUCAACUCCUGAACUGCCUUUGAUACUGAGGAUCUUGAGUUCGGGAGAGGUGAGUGGAACUGCGAGUGUAGAGGUGAAAUUCGUAGAUAUUCGCAAGAACACCAGUGGCGAAGGCGGCUCACUGGCCCGAUACUGACGCUGAGGCACGAAAGCGUGGGGAGCAAACAGG
This 253-nucleotide ribosomal RNA is filed under the name uncultured bacterium. RNAcentral describes it as "partial 16S ribosomal RNA". It matches the Rfam family "Bacterial small subunit ribosomal RNA", at positions 524 to 776 of the family's 1533-position model. The record is from RNAcentral.